AGGUCGCUGCCCGGUUCGUCAGGACUUACGUCCCCGGGGCCUUAAAUUCAUGUUCGGGAGCUGUCUCUGACUAGGGUCGUGGCCCUUAUCACGCGGCGCCCACCUGGUCCUUCGGGUCCAGGGCGACAAAAAUGUCCAACGGCCGGUGCGGCACUUUA
RNAcentral lists this non-coding RNA (158 nucleotides) under Parvularcula marina. Its description in RNAcentral is "6S / SsrS RNA". It matches the Rfam family "6S / SsrS RNA". Rfam says of the family: E. coli 6S RNA was the first non coding RNA to be sequenced, but its function was unknown until recently. It consists of 184 nucleotides that fold into an extended hairpin structure with a large single-stranded internal bulge. The 6S RNA specifically associates with RNA polymerase holoenzyme containing the sigma70 specificity factor. Lineage: Bacteria; Pseudomonadati; Pseudomonadota; Alphaproteobacteria; Parvularculales; Parvularculaceae. The record is from Rfam by way of RNAcentral.